RNAcentral lists this small RNA (178 nucleotides) under Chelonoidis abingdonii (Abingdon island giant tortoise). RNAcentral's name for it is "TUC338 (ENSCABG00000003709.1)". The record is from RNAcentral. Lineage: Eukaryota; Metazoa; Chordata; Testudines; Testudinidae.
UUGACAGCUCUGGAGACUCAAGUCCUGUCUCUCAUAAGAACACAAACAGAAAGGACAACAACAAUGCAAGCUUCCUCCUCAAGCUGUCCCUUCACAAUGUGCCUCCACCCUGGCCUGGAGGAACCACUUCAAUGACUGUGGGGAGUUCAGUCUCUGCGGACUCUCAGUUAAGACUACA